Molecule: unclassified non-coding RNA, 206 nt
Filed under: uncultured fungus
Lineage: Eukaryota; Fungi
Description: sequence contains ITS1
Source: RNAcentral
UUAAAUAAUUUAUAUUUUCACUCAGACUACAAUCUUCAGACAGAGUUCGAGGGUGUCUUCGGCGGGCGCGGGCCCGGGGGCGGAUGCCCCCCGGCGGCCGUGAGGCGGGCCCGCCGAAGCAACAAGGUACGAUAAACACGGGUGGGAGGUUGGACCCAGAGGGCCCUCACUCGGUAAUGAUCCUUCCGCAGGUUCACCUACGGAAA